This 274-nucleotide ribosomal RNA is filed under the name uncultured bacterium. RNAcentral describes it as "partial 16S ribosomal RNA". It matches the Rfam family "Bacterial small subunit ribosomal RNA", at positions 523 to 796 of the family's 1533-position model. The record is from RNAcentral.
AUACGGAGGGUGCAAGCGUUACUCGGAAUCACUGGGCAUAAAGCGCGCGCAGGCGGGCUGAUAAGUUGGAUGUGAAAGCCUACGGCUCAACCGUAGAACUGCAUCCAAAACUGUCAGUCUAGAGUGUGGGAGAGGAAGAUGGAAUUAGUUGUGUAGGGGUAAAAUCCGUAGAGAUAACUAGGAAUACCAAAAGCGAAGGCAAUCUUCUGGAACACUACUGACGCUGAGGCGCGAAGGCGUGGGGAGCAAACAGGAUUAGAAACCCCGGUAGUCC